UACGUAGGGUGCAAGCGUUAAUCGGAAUUACUGGGCGUAAAGCGUGCGCAGGCGGUUGUGCAAGUCAGAUGUGAAAUCCCCGGGCUUAACCUGGGAACUGCAUUUGUGACUGCACAGCUGGAGUGCGGCAGAGGGGGAUGGAAUUCCGCGUGUAGCAGUGAAAUGCGUAGAUAUGCGGAGGAACACCGAUGGCGAAGGCAAUCCCCUGGGCCUGCACUGACGCUCAUGCACGAAAGCGUGGGGAGCAAACAGG
RNAcentral lists this ribosomal RNA (253 nucleotides) under uncultured bacterium. Its description in RNAcentral is "partial 16S ribosomal RNA". It matches the Rfam family "Bacterial small subunit ribosomal RNA", at positions 524 to 776 of the family's 1533-position model. The record is from RNAcentral.